GUGUAGCAGGCGCGAAAACUCCGCAAUGCGCGUAAGCGUGACGGGGUCAUCCCGAGUGCCGUCCGCUGAGGAUGGCUUUUCUCCGGUCUAACCAGCCGGAGGAAUAAGGAGAGGGCAAGUCUGGUGUCAGCCGCCGCGGUAAUACCAGCUCUUCGAGUGGUAGGGAUGUUUAUUGGGCCUGAAGCAUCCGUAGCUGGCUGAACAAGUCCUCCGUUAAAUCCAGCGAUUUAAUCGUUGGAUUGCGGGGGAUACUGCUCGGCUAGGGGGUGGGAGAGGCCAACGGUAUUCUCGGGGUAGGGGUGAAAUCCUAUAAUCCCGGGAGGACCACCAGUGGCGAAGGCUGUUGGCUAGAACACGCCCGACAGUGAGGGAUGAAAGCUGGGGGAGCGAACCGGAUUAGAUACCCGGGUAGUCC
RNAcentral lists this ribosomal RNA (415 nucleotides) under uncultured crenarchaeote. RNAcentral describes it as "partial 16S ribosomal RNA". It matches the Rfam family "Archaeal small subunit ribosomal RNA", at positions 330 to 747 of the family's 1478-position model. The record is from RNAcentral. Lineage: Archaea; Thermoproteati; Thermoproteota.